GGGAGCAAACCAAUUCUUACAUUUCCAGAAUGAAAGCAAGGGCAUUUGCCCUUUUAAUUUUUUUUCAUUAUACUAGCCAUAGGAAUCUUUUAAGAGGAGUAUGGUUCAUAUUUUCACGAAGUUUUUAUUGAUCAACUAUUUGCAAUAAACGAACAAGAGUAAUUGAACCAUCCAAGACAUGAUUUCAAGAAUCCAUUGAAGAGAGAUUUUUAUGACCUAUCCAUGAGAGAGCCCGGGGAGUGCUGGGAGACCUUAAAGGAUGCGCGAUGUUGACGCCAUUCAGAAGAGAAGGUGUAUUUCAUGCCUUUAGUAUGGGAUUUACUUGGAUCUGGUCAUUUCUAAGCAUUGUAAGGCAAUACUCGAGGUUUUGAGACACGAGCUCCAACCCAGCAGUAGCGGUAGCAUUCUAGUCGCAGAGGCACAGUAAGUCCUCAUUGAUUCGAGGACAAUAUGAUUUGAUACAUUUAUUUAUUUCUUCAGUUCAUUUUUAUGGAGUUAUUUGGAGACAUGUUCCUUUAACUCCUUAUUUAGACAGUUUAGAGUCUUUCAGAUUUAUGUUUAGAUUUACGUUCAGAUUGAGUUGUUUUGGGUAUUUUCACCCACAUGGUUUUAUUUAGUUGAACCUUAUGGCCUUAC
This is a long non-coding RNA of Capsicum annuum, 636 nucleotides long. RefSeq lists it as uncharacterized. The transcript has 4 exons. NCBI's taxonomy places the organism in Eukaryota, Viridiplantae, Streptophyta, Magnoliopsida, Solanales, Solanaceae. The record is from RefSeq and is a predicted model, not a curated record.